RNAcentral lists this ribosomal RNA (440 nucleotides) under uncultured bacterium. RNAcentral's name for it is "partial 16S ribosomal RNA". The record is from RNAcentral.
UGACUGACUGAGGCUACCUUGUUACGACUUCACCCCAGUUAUCGGUCCCGCCUUCGGCAGCUCCCUCCUUGCGGUUGGGUCACUGACUUCGGGCGUUACUGACUCCCAUGGUGUGACGGGCGGUGUGUACAAGACCCGGGAACGUAUUCACCGCGACAUUCUGAUUCGCGAUUACUAGCGAUUCCAGCUUCAUGUAGUCGAGUUGCAGACUACAAUCCGAACUGAGACGUUAUUUUUGAGAUUUGCUCGGCCUCGCGGCUCUGCCUCCCUUUGUUUACGCCAUUGUAGCACGUGUGUAGCCCUGCCCAUAAGGGGCAUGAUGAUUUGACGUCAUCCCCACCUUCCUCCAGGUUAUCCCUGGCAGUCUCUCCAGAGUGCCCAUCCUAAAUGCUGGCUACUGAAGAUAAGGGUUGCGCUCGUUGCGGGACUUAACCCAACAU